This 370-nucleotide long non-coding RNA is filed under the name Homo sapiens (human). Its description in RNAcentral is "HSALNT0297622". Lineage: Eukaryota; Metazoa; Chordata; Mammalia; Primates; Hominidae. The record is from RNAcentral.
GAAUCCAUCCUCCUCUCUCCAUCUCUCUCACCAGCUCCAGCCCUGUCUCACCUGGGCGGGCGCAAUGGCCCCCCUGCCGGCUGGCCUGUAUUCACUCUAAUCUCUUCAGUCGGCUUGCAGCCAGCACGAUCUUCUAAAAUCAAAACAAAGUCUGAUCACGUACCUUGGGUUGUCUAAUCCCUGAGAACUGGAGGCAAAAGUGGAAUUGAGGGCUGAGGGUUAAAGAAGCUCAAGGAAGCUCAUGGUGAAGCCCCGAUUUGAAAUGGGACUUUGAAGAGGAAGCUCUAGGCCAGCAUGGCUCACAAGGAAGCUGGGUGGCGUUUCUCCUCCUCUCCCACCAUUGUGAAGGAUCUUCUUGCUGCUAGAGUGC